RNAcentral lists this ribosomal RNA (446 nucleotides) under uncultured bacterium. RNAcentral's name for it is "partial 16S ribosomal RNA". It matches the Rfam family "Bacterial small subunit ribosomal RNA", at positions 338 to 795 of the family's 1533-position model. The record is from RNAcentral.
CCUACGGGUGGCAGCAGUCGAGAAUCAUGCACAAUGGGGGAAACCCUGAUGGGGCGACGCCGCGUGGGGGAAUGAAGGUCUGCGGAUUGUAAACCCCUGUCAUGUGGGAGCAAAUUAAAAAGAUAGUACCACAAGGGGAAGAGACGGCCAACGCGGGGCCAGCAGCCGCGGUAAUACAGAGGUCUCAAGCGUUGUGCGGAAUAACUGGGCGUAAAGCGUGCGUAGGCUGUUUCGUAAGUCGUGUGUGAAAGGCGCGGGCUCAACCCGCGGACGGCACAUGAUACUGCGAGACUAGAGUAAUGGAGGGGGAACCGGAAUUCUCGGUGUAGCGGUGAAAUGCGUAGCUAUCGAGCGGAACACUCGUGGCGAAGGCGGGUUCCUGGACCUUAACUGACGCUGAGGCACGAAGGCCCGGGGAGCGAAAAGGAUUAGAUACCCUAGUAGUC